GAUGAGGAAUAAGUAAUACAAGGGCUCACAGCCCAGGUCCCCUCCAGUGGUUCUGUGGUGGGCCCAGGGGCGGCUGACACGCGGUGAGGCCCCUUCUGUGUCCCUGCUGGGCUCUGGGGAGGCACUGCAGUUGGCGAAGGCCUUUGCGUAUCUGGAGUGCUGGUAGCUGUGGCUGUGACCUGACAUCUGACGCUCAGGCC
RNAcentral lists this non-coding RNA (200 nucleotides) under Chinchilla lanigera (long-tailed chinchilla). The record is from RNAcentral. Lineage: Eukaryota; Metazoa; Chordata; Mammalia; Rodentia; Chinchillidae.